Molecule: ribosomal RNA, 289 nt
Filed under: uncultured bacterium
Lineage: Bacteria
Description: partial 16S ribosomal RNA
Rfam family: Bacterial small subunit ribosomal RNA
Source: RNAcentral
GUGGAUUAGAUACCCGGGUAGUCCACGCCGUAAACGAUGGAUGCUAGCUGUGAGAAGUAUCGACCCUUCUCGUAGCGAAGCUAACGCGUUAAGCAUCCCGCCUGUGGAGUACGGUCGCAAGACUAAAACAUAAAGGAAUUGACGGGGACCCGCACAAGCGGUGGAGCGUGUUCUUUAAUUCGAAGGUAAGCGAAGAACCUUACCAGGGUUUGACAUCCUCAGAAGGCAUCCGAAAGGAUACUGUGCCCUCGGGAACUGAGUGACAGGUGAUGCACGGCCGUCGACAGCU